GAUGAACGCUGGCGAAAUGCUUUACACAUGCAAGUCGAACGGACCCUUCGGGGUUAGUGGCGGACGGGUGAGUAACGCGUGAGAAUCUGCCUUCAGGUCUGGGACAACAGAAGGGAAACUUCUGCUAAUCCGGGAUGAGCCUUUUAGGUAAAAGAUAAAUUGCCUGGAGAUGAGCUCGCGUCUGAUUAGCUAGUUGGUGUGGUAAAAGCAUACCAAGGCAACGAUCAGUAGCUGGUCUGAGAGGAUGAGCAGCCACACUGGGACUGAGACACGGCCCAGACUCCUACGGGAGG
This 293-nucleotide ribosomal RNA is filed under the name uncultured cyanobacterium. Its description in RNAcentral is "partial 16S ribosomal RNA". It matches the Rfam family "Bacterial small subunit ribosomal RNA", at positions 28 to 348 of the family's 1533-position model. The record is from RNAcentral. Lineage: Bacteria; Bacillati; Cyanobacteriota.